This 600-nucleotide ribosomal RNA is filed under the name Neomassarina thailandica. RNAcentral describes it as "eukaryotic LSU rRNA". The stretch from base 226 to 379 matches the Rfam family "5.8S ribosomal RNA". Lineage: Eukaryota; Fungi; Ascomycota; Dothideomycetes; Pleosporales. The record is from RNAcentral.
GGAAGUAAAAGUCGUAACAAGGUUUCCGUAGGUGAACCUGCGGAAGGAUCAUUAACUACCGGCACCCCUCCCGGGGGGUGCGCGGCUCGGGGCGACCCGUGCCGUCUGUAGUCCCUGUCUUUUCGAGUACCUGUUCCGUUUCCUCGGCGGGCCUGCCCGCCAGCGAGGACCCAAACCAAACCCUGAAGUGAGCGGUUACGUCUGAAAACAAACAAAAUCUAUCAAAACUUUCAACAACGGAUCUCUUGGUUCUGGCAUCGAUGAAGAACGCAGCGAAAUGCGAUAAGUAGUGUGAAUUGCAGAAUUCAGUGAAUCAUCGAAUCUUUGAACGCACAUUGCGCCCCUUGGUAUUCCUUGGGGCAUGCCUGUUCGAGCGUCAUCUACACCCUCAAGCUCAGCUUGGUGAUGGGCGACUGUCCCCCCGCGGACUCGCCUCAAACGCAUCUGGCGGCUGGGCCGGCGGCUUCUCCUGCAGCACAUUUGCAGCGCGAGGCGCGCGGCUCCGGCGAACCACAAGCCCCUUUCUCAGUUUUGACCUCGGAUCAGGUAGGGAUACCCGCUGAACUUAAGCAUAUCAAUAAGNCGGAGGAAUCAUUAACU